ACGCUCGACACCUACUGGAGGCAGCAGUGGGGAAUAUUGCACAAUGGGGGAAACCCUGAUGCAGCGACGCCGCGUGAGUGAAGAAGUAUUUCGGUAUGUAAAGCUCUAUCAGCAGGGAAGAAAAUGACGGUACCUGACUAAGAAGCCCCGGCUAACUACGUGCCAGCAGCCACGGUAAUCUGAGCGGGCUGGCAAGGC
Molecule: ribosomal RNA, 198 nt
Filed under: uncultured bacterium
Lineage: Bacteria
Description: partial 16S ribosomal RNA
Rfam family: Bacterial small subunit ribosomal RNA
Source: RNAcentral